This 495-nucleotide ribosomal RNA is filed under the name Sphaerulina sp. CBS 128758. RNAcentral's name for it is "eukaryotic LSU rRNA". The stretch from base 163 to 316 matches the Rfam family "5.8S ribosomal RNA". The record is from RNAcentral. Lineage: Eukaryota; Fungi; Ascomycota; Dothideomycetes; Mycosphaerellales; Mycosphaerellaceae.
GCGGAGGGAUCAUUACUGAGUGAGGGCCUUCGGGCUCGACCUCCAACCCUUUGUGAACACAACUUGUUGCUUCGGGGGCGACCCUGCCGUUUCGACGGCGAGCGCCCCCGGAGGCCUUCAAACACUGCAUCUUUGCGUCGGAGUUUAAGUAAAUUUAAACAAAACUUUCAACAACGGAUCUCUUGGUUCUGGCAUCGAUGAAGAACGCAGCGAAAUGCGAUAAGUAAUGUGAAUUGCAGAAUUCAGUGAAUCAUCGAAUCUUUGAACGCACAUUGCGCCCUCUGGUAUUCCGGAGGGCAUGCCUGUUCGAGCGUCAUUUCACCACUCAAGCCUGGCUUGGUAUUGGGCGCCGCGGUGUUCCGCGCGCCUCAAAGUCUCCGGCUGAGCUGUCCGUCUCCAAGCGUUGUGAUUUCAUUAAUCGCUUCGGGGUACGGGUGGCCGCGGCCGUUAAAUCUUUCACAAGGUUGACCUCGGAUCAGGUAGGGAUACCCGCUG